GGUAGAGUUCUUCGGAACUUGAGACCGGCGCACGGGUGCGUAACGCGUAUGCAAUCUACCUUUUACAGAGGGAUAGCCCAGAGAAAUUUGGAUUAAUACCUCAUAGCAUAGCAGUCUCGCAUGAGAUCACUAUUAAAGUCACAACGGUAAAAGAUGAGCAUGCGUCCCAUUAGCUAGUUGGUAAGGUAACGGCUUACCAAGGCUACGAUGGGUAGGGGUCCUGAGAGGGAGAUCCCCCACACUGGUACUGAGACACGGACCAGACUCCUACGGGAGGCAGCAGUGAGGAAUAUUGGACAAUGGGCGCAAGCCUGAUCCAGCCAUGCCGCGUGCAGGAUGACGGUCCUAUGGAUUGUAAACUGCUUUUAUACGAGAAGAAACACUGCUUCGUGAAGCAGCUUGACGGUAUCGUAAGAAUAAGGAUCGGCUAACUCCGUGCCAGCAGCCGCGGUAAUACGGAGGAUCCAAGCGUUAUCCGGAAUCAUUGGGUUUAAAGGGUCCGUAGGGCGGUUUAAUAAGUCAGUGGUGAAAGCCCAUCGCUCAACGGUGGAACGGCCAUUGAUACUGUUAAACUUGAAUUAUUAGGAAGUAACUAGAAUAUGUAGUGUAGCGGUGAAAUGCUUAGAGAUUACAUGGAAUACCAAUUGCGAAGGCAGGUUACUACUAAUGGAUUGACGCUGAUGGACGAAAGCGUGGGUAGCGAACAGGAUUAGAAACCCUGGUAGUCCACGCCGUAAACGAUGGAUACUAGCUGUUGGAAGCAAUUUCAGUGGCUAAGCGAAAGUGAUAAGUAUCCCACCUGGGGAGUACGUUCGCAAGAAUGAAACUCAAAGGAAUUGACGGGGGCCCGCACAAGCGGUGGAGCAUGUGGUUUAAUUCGAUGAUACGCGAGGAACCUUACCAAGGCUUAAAUGUAGAUUGACCGGUUUGGAAACAGAUCUUUCGCAAGACAAUUUACAAGGUGCUGCAUGGUUGUCGUCAGCUCGUGCCGUGAGGUGUCAGGUUAAGUCCUAUAACGAGCGCAACCCCUGUUGUUAGUUGCCAGCGAGUCAUGUCGGGAACUCUAACAAGACUGCCAGUGCAAACUGUGAGGAAGGUGGGGAUGACGUCAAAUCAUCACGGCCCUUACGCCUUGGGC
Molecule: ribosomal RNA, 1138 nt
Filed under: Flavobacterium sp.
Lineage: Bacteria; Pseudomonadati; Bacteroidota; Flavobacteriia; Flavobacteriales; Flavobacteriaceae
Description: bacterial SSU rRNA
Rfam family: Bacterial small subunit ribosomal RNA
Source: RNAcentral